Syngnathus typhle (broad-nosed pipefish) is the source of this 463-nucleotide long non-coding RNA. RefSeq lists it as uncharacterized. The record is from RefSeq and is a predicted model, not a curated record. The transcript has 2 exons. NCBI's taxonomy places the organism in Eukaryota, Metazoa, Chordata, Actinopteri, Syngnathiformes, Syngnathidae.
CCUUCACGAAGUUCAAGGAGGUGAAAGAUGAGAGUGGACAUGACAAAAAGGCACUCGGGAUCGUGGACGUGACAAAAGGACCUCCAGGAAAGUUGACAUGACAAGAAGGCGCUCAUGAGAGGUUCUGGAUGGCAGCUCCAAGGGGAUUAAGACUUUGAUCCUUGUGCUUCGCCCAUCAGGAGGAAAAGGCGAACUGUUACGUGCGGAAUUUCACUUCAAUCUGGUGGGACAAACUCGGACUGUGACAGAAAGUGAAUGAAAACACUGGCGUCAGCGCUUGUGCUACUUUUCCGCUACUUUUUUUUUUUUAACUUAGUCGUACACAGAGAAACAUAUGCCUUUUCGUAUGUGGUAUUCCUUCGAGACAAAUGUCAAGCAUGAAUAAUGGGAUAUAAAAAGUGCUGUCACUAUGGAAACCAGCAACGUGUUGUCCUUGGAAGUUCAUUCAAGCUCAGUUUGUGAU